CUUCCGGGUGUUCGUUAUCGGAAUAGACUUUGAUAUUGACUUUGAUAUCUGUGUAUUGAUUCUCUCUCAGCGCCACGUUCACACUUUUGCGAGUUUUAUUUCGUUAAACGGAUCGUUUGAACAUAAUUCUGCUGUAAAUAAAUCUUUCCCAUCAUGGAUAAAACCAGCGUGUUUGGCUCAAUGUUCGUCUUCCUGUUGAUUUGUGUUGCUUCGGAGACAACAAGAACUCAUCGACCCGUUCACACACCAUGCAACACCCAGACUUCCUGUGAUACAUGCCUUGCCAAUGUUUCUUGUUUGUGGUGUCUGACCAAUCUAAAUCUGCCUGGAGUAUCCCAUGACGUAUGUGAUUCCUCCAGCAUCAGUGUGUAAACUCUCUCAGGCACGAUGGGGGUUUGCUGGUG
Long non-coding RNA from Xyrauchen texanus (razorback sucker), 404 nucleotides. RefSeq lists it as uncharacterized. The record is from RefSeq and is a predicted model, not a curated record. The transcript has 3 exons. Lineage: Eukaryota; Metazoa; Chordata; Actinopteri; Cypriniformes; Catostomidae.